RNAcentral lists this transfer RNA (72 nucleotides) under Camelus bactrianus (Bactrian camel). It matches the Rfam family "tRNA". Rfam says of the family: Transfer RNA (tRNA) molecules are approximately 80 nucleotides in length. Their secondary structure includes four short double-helical elements and three loops (D, anti-codon, and T loops). Further hydrogen bonds mediate the characteristic L-shaped molecular structure. tRNAs have two regions of fundamental functional importance: the anti-codon, which is responsible for specific mRNA codon recognition, and the 3' end, to which the tRNAs corresponding amino acid is attached (by aminoacyl-tRNA synthetases). tRNAs cope with the degeneracy of the genetic code in two manners: having more than one tRNA (with a specific anti-codon) for a particular amino acid; and 'wobble' base-pairing, i.e. permitting non-standard base-pairing at the 3rd anti-codon position. Lineage: Eukaryota; Metazoa; Chordata; Mammalia; Artiodactyla; Camelidae. The record is from Rfam by way of RNAcentral. RNAcentral also lists the same sequence under 2 other names.
GAGGGUAUAGCUUGGUGGUAGAGUGUGUGCUUAGCAUGCAUGAGGUCCUAGGUUUAAUCCCUAGUACCUCCA